GAUGAACGCUGGCGGCGUGCCUAAUACAUGCAAGUCGAGCGAACGGACGAGAAGCUUGCUUCUCUGUUGUUAGCGGCGGACGGGUGUGUCACGCGUGUAUAACCUACCUAUCAUUCUGGUAUAACUUCGGAAAACGGUCGCUUAUACCGUAUAAUCUCUUGCACCGCAUUGGUCAAUAGUGAAAGACGGUCUUGCUGUCUCUUAUAGAUGGAUCCCCGCUGCAUUAGCUAGUUGUUAAGUUAACAGGUUACCAAGGCAACGAUGCAUAGACGACGUGAGGGGGUGAUCGGCGACACUGGAACUGAGACAGGGUCCAGGGUACUGCGGGAGGCAGCAGUAGGGUAUGUGCCGCAGUGGGCGAAAGCCUGACGGAGUAACGCCACGUGAGUGAUGAAGGCCUUCGGUGCGGAAAACUCUGUUAUGAGGGAAAAACAGAUUUGUAAGGAACUGUGCAGAGCUUGACGGUACCUAGUCAGAAAGCAACGGCUAACUACGUG
RNAcentral lists this ribosomal RNA (497 nucleotides) under uncultured bacterium. RNAcentral describes it as "partial 16S ribosomal RNA". It matches the Rfam family "Bacterial small subunit ribosomal RNA", at positions 28 to 507 of the family's 1533-position model. The record is from RNAcentral.